UAUAAUUAAUUGUACUGAAAUAGAAAAGGAUGUGAAACACUUUCACACUAGAGCUUCUCUUCUGUAAUGAGCCAAAUUAUUUAUUUAUUUGUUAGUGUAUUAACUGUUUACUGACUGUGUGGAUUUUUUGUGCCAUUGCCAGUGGAUCUAUGGCACGCUGUUGGUUGUCUCUGUGCUUGAGUUCAGCAUUUCUAUCUCCACCUAUAAAGCCGCCGGCUGCACUGCAGCUACACCGAUACAGUAUUCACAACCAUUGAUCCCACAGCCGAUGAAUCCACAACCCACCAUACAACAGCUGACGUUUCAACAGCCAAUGAUUCAACAGCCAAUGAAUCCACCGCCAAUGUACAAUCCACCGCCAAUGUACAAUCCACCGCCAAUGUACAAUCCACAGCUGAUGAAUCCACCGCCAAUGUGCAAUCCUGCGUACAACCCACAGACUCCAAGUCAAUUUGUUUCUAUAAAAUGCUAAAACAUUUGAAUUUUAAUCAUGGUGUAGUUCUGUACUGUUUAUGCUUCAUGCCGAACCUCACGUCUAUUACAGUUAGCUGUGAAGCAUUGAGUCUGAAAAACGAUGACUGCAGAGCUACUAAAAUAAUCUAGCAUCUCGUCUUUAAUUAUUUUGUUUCGUAUCUAUGGUCCGAUUCUGUGAGUGUGUCUGAUUGUAACCUGUCUGAUUAACAAUAAACUUUGCAUGUGGUCCCACUGUGUAAUAACACCA
Long non-coding RNA from Tachysurus fulvidraco (yellow catfish), 721 nucleotides. RefSeq lists it as uncharacterized. The record is from RefSeq and is a predicted model, not a curated record. The transcript has 2 exons. Lineage: Eukaryota; Metazoa; Chordata; Actinopteri; Siluriformes; Bagridae.